GUCUUUGAGAUAUAAAUUUAAAGUUUAACCUGCCCAUUGAAUUAUUUUAAAGGCUGCGGUAUAUUGACCGUACAAAGGUAGCAUAAUCAUUAGUUUCUUAAUUAGAAACUGGUAUGAAUGGUUGAAUGAAAUAUAAUCUGUUUUAUUAAAAAUAAUAGAAUUUUACUUUUUAAUAAAAAGGUUAAAAUGUAUUUAAAAGACGAGAAGACCCUAUAGAGUUUUAUAUAAGUUGAUAUUUAAGUUGUUUUAAAUUAAUAAGAAUUGAAUAAAACUAUAUAUUUUGUUGGGGCGAUGAUAAAAUAUAUUAAACUUUUAUUUUUAUUUACAUUAAUUUAUGAAUGCAUGAUCCAUUAAUAAUGAUUAUAAGAUUAAAUUACCUUAGGGAUAACAGCGUUAUUUUUUUUUAAGUUCAUAUUAAUAAAAAAGAUUGCGACCUCGAUGUUGGAUUAAGAUUAAUUUUAGGUGCAGAAGUUUAAAAUUUAAGUCUGUUCGACUUUUAAAUUCUU
This 506-nucleotide ribosomal RNA is filed under the name Leptosciarella (Leptosciarella) sp. 2 SS-2012. RNAcentral describes it as "partial 16S ribosomal RNA". Lineage: Eukaryota; Metazoa; Arthropoda; Insecta; Diptera; Sciaridae. The record is from RNAcentral.